CCUACGGGGGGCUGCAGUGGGGAAUAUUGGACAAUGGACCAAAAGUCUGAUCCAGCAAUUCUGUGUGCACGAUGAAGUUUUUCGGAAUGUAAAGUGCUUUCAGUUGGGACGAAGAACGUGACGGUACCAACAGAAGAAGCGACGGCUAAAUACGUGCCAGCAGCCGCGGUAAUACGUAUGUCGCAAGCGUUAUCCGGAUUUAUUGGGCGUAAAGCGCGUCUAGGCGGUUUGGUAAGUCUGAUGUGAAAAUGCGGGGCUCAACCCCGUAUUGCGUUGGAAACUGCCAAACUAGAGUACUGGAGAGGUGGGCGGAACUACAAGUGUAGAGGUGAAAUUCGUAGAUAUUUGUAGGAAUGCCGAUGGAGAAGUCAGCCCACUGGACAGAUACUGACGCUGAAGCGCGAAAGCGUGGGUAGCAAACAGGAUUAGAUACCCCAGUAGUC
RNAcentral lists this ribosomal RNA (443 nucleotides) under uncultured Fusobacterium sp. RNAcentral describes it as "bacterial SSU rRNA". It matches the Rfam family "Bacterial small subunit ribosomal RNA", at positions 338 to 795 of the family's 1533-position model. Lineage: Bacteria; Fusobacteriati; Fusobacteriota; Fusobacteriia; Fusobacteriales; Fusobacteriaceae. The record is from RNAcentral.